UACAGAGGUCACAAGCGUUGUUCGGAUUCACUGGGCGUAAAGGGUGCGCAGGUGGGCUGGUAAGUUCGAUGUGAAAGCCCCGGGCUUAACCCGGGAAUGGCAUUGGAUACUACUGGUCUGGAGGAUCGGAGGGGGGACUGGAAUUCUUGGUGUAGCAGUGAAAUGCGUAGAUAUCAAGAGGAACACCAGUGGCGAAGGCGAGUCCCUGGACGAUACCUGACACUGAGGCACGAAAGCCAAGGGAGCAAACAGG
Molecule: ribosomal RNA, 253 nt
Filed under: uncultured bacterium
Lineage: Bacteria
Description: partial 16S ribosomal RNA
Rfam family: Bacterial small subunit ribosomal RNA
Source: RNAcentral